RNAcentral lists this ribosomal RNA (253 nucleotides) under uncultured bacterium. RNAcentral's name for it is "partial 16S ribosomal RNA". It matches the Rfam family "Bacterial small subunit ribosomal RNA", at positions 524 to 776 of the family's 1533-position model. The record is from RNAcentral.
GACAGAGGGGGCAAGCGUUGCUCGGAAUUACUGGGCGUAAAGGGCGCGUAGGCGGGAUGGCAAGUCGGUCGUGAAAUCCCUCGGCUCAACUGAGGAUCGUCGAUCGAUACUGCCGUUCUUGAGGAUUGCAGAGGAGAUUGGAAUUCCCGGUGUAGCGGUGAAAUGUGUAGAGAUCGGGAGGAACACCGGUGGCGAAGGCGGGUCUCUGGGCAAUUCCUGACGCUGAGGCGCGAAAGCGUGGAGAGCAAACGGG